Molecule: non-coding RNA, 29 nt
Filed under: Mus musculus (house mouse)
Lineage: Eukaryota; Metazoa; Chordata; Mammalia; Rodentia; Muridae
Source: RNAcentral
UAACUUUGUUGGAAAGAUACAGAUGGCUC